UCGUCAGCUCGUGUCGUGAGAUGUUGGGUUAAGUCCCGCAACGAGCGCAACCCCUAUUGUUAGUUGCCAUCAUUAAGUUGGGCACUCUAGCGAGACUGCCGGUAAUAAACCGGAGGAAGGUGGGGAUGACGUCAAAUCAUCAUGCCCCUUAUGACCUGGGCUACACACGUGCUACAAUGGUUGGUACAACGAGUCGCAAGCCGGUGACGGCAAGCUAAUCUCUUAAAGCCAAUCUCAGUUCGGAUUGUAGGCUGCAACUCGCCUACAUGAAGUCGGAAUCGCUAGUAAUCGCGGAUCAGCACGCCGCGGUGAAUACGUUCCCGGGCCUU
RNAcentral lists this ribosomal RNA (329 nucleotides) under uncultured Streptococcus sp. Its description in RNAcentral is "bacterial SSU rRNA". It matches the Rfam family "Bacterial small subunit ribosomal RNA", at positions 1052 to 1382 of the family's 1533-position model. Lineage: Bacteria; Bacillati; Bacillota; Bacilli; Lactobacillales; Streptococcaceae. The record is from RNAcentral.